CCAAAUCCUAUUUAUUUUUAGAUCUACAAAUCAUGCUCCACUUGACAAGAUAGUACCUUUUUUCCUUAUUAGGACCCUGCCAGAAAAAAUCACCUUGUGUUUAUUAAGUUUCUUCAUAAAUGUAUUAUUCAUCAACCACCUGGACAUAUGGUACAAGUAUAUUUGAGAGAGUACAACAUUAAGAAGAUUAUGCCUUCCACGAGUGGAUACAACAUUAUCCACCACCCAGAAGAUCUAGAGAAAUCACCGGAGGAAUAGGAGAGUCUAGCGAAACCCUAGGGGGUAAUACUAAUAAAAUAAGAGUUACGGCUGGAUAUAAUACCAAAUCCGAUUUAGCCCAGUAAGAAAACAAUAUCAGUCCUGUCUACGAAUAUGGAUGAUCCGAGAUGCGCGACGACGGCACACCCAAGCUACUAGUACAUGACAUUGGGGACUUUGUGUUGUUAUAUCUCUAGACAAACUGAUGAAAGGCGUCGUCAUUUCUGAAGAACCUGGAAUGAUGCAUUCUUUGAUGCCUCCCAUGUCUAUUCUACACUAGGACAUGCACCCAAGGAUAGUGGUGCCUAAAUGAACUUCAAGUCGAUCAGCUUUAUCGAAGUGCAAAGGCAGCAUUCCCUCUCCCUAUUUUAUAUAGGUCGAGCAAUGGAGCUAUGCUUGAUUUGAUUUGGUUCACCAACCUCACAACCAUACAUGGUUCAAGAAUGGUGUACUCGGUUAGUCAUUCUCACAACCAUACAUUUCUGACAACAUCAUAGUAAUUCUCAGUUGUAUUAUAGUAUGCAUUGAUUAUACCGUUUGCUGAAAAAAAAUUAUAUGAUAAAGAAGUUACUGCAUGCCGCGGAUUCUCUACAUGAAUAAGGCUCACUACAUCUAUCGGAAAACCGUGAUGCAAAAGCUUUAGAGAAAAAGACAAUCAUGAAAAAUUGCAUGCUCUACUAAGCUCGUGUGUUAGUUAGCUUAAUUGUCGGUCAAAGUUACCAAUGCCAGAACCGUUAAUAUAUUCUGAAGGAUGUGAAACAAAGUUUUCGUAGCUAAUUAAGCACACUAACACUCAUAGGGAUAGA
RNAcentral lists this long non-coding RNA (1064 nucleotides) under Hordeum vulgare. RNAcentral's name for it is "long non-coding RNA (HVUL_LNC017933)". The record is from RNAcentral. Lineage: Eukaryota; Viridiplantae; Streptophyta; Magnoliopsida; Poales; Poaceae.